RNAcentral lists this ribosomal RNA (433 nucleotides) under uncultured bacterium. RNAcentral's name for it is "partial 16S ribosomal RNA". It matches the Rfam family "Bacterial small subunit ribosomal RNA", at positions 29 to 507 of the family's 1533-position model. The record is from RNAcentral.
AACGAACGCUGGCGGCAUGCCUAACACAUGCAAGUCGAACGAGACCUUCGGGUCUAGUGGCGCACGGGUGCGUAACGCGUGGGAACCUGCCCUUAGGUUCGGAAUAACUCCCCGAAAGGGGUGCUAAUACCGGAUAAUGUCUUCGGACCAAAGAUUUAUCGCCUUUGGAUGGGCCCGCGUUGGAUUAGCUAGUUGGUAGGGUAAAAGCCUACCAAGGCGACGAUCCAUAGCUGGUCUGAGAGGAUGAUCAGCCACACUGGGACUGAGACACGGCCCAGACUCCUACGGGAGGCAGCAGUGGGGGAUAUUGGACAAUGGGGGGAAGGCUGAACCAGCAAUGCCGGGUGAGUGAUGAAGGCCUUAGGGUUGUAAAGCUCUUUUAACCGGGAUGGUAAUGACAGUACCGGGAGAAUAAGCUCCGGCUAACUCCGUG